This 514-nucleotide ribosomal RNA is filed under the name uncultured bacterium. Its description in RNAcentral is "bacterial SSU rRNA". It matches the Rfam family "Bacterial small subunit ribosomal RNA", at positions 104 to 596 of the family's 1533-position model. The record is from RNAcentral.
GGGUGAGUAACGCGUAGGCAACCUACCCUCAUGUUGGGGAUAACAGGGCGAAAGCCCUGCUAAUACCGGAUGUGACCACGGAGCGGGAGCUCUGUGGUGAAAGCGGGCCACUCUAUAGAAGCUCGCGCGUGGGGAUGGGCCUGCGUCCUAUCAGCUGGUUGGUGAGGUAACGGCUCACCAAGGCAUCGACGGGUAGCUGGUCUGAGAGGAUGAUCAGCCACACUGGCACUGGAACACGGGCCAGACUCCUACGGGAGGCAGCAGUGAGGAAUUUUGCGCAAUGGGGGAAACCCUGACGCAGCAACGCCGCGUGGGUGAUGAAGGCCUUCGGGUCGUAAAGCCCUGUCAGGUGGGAAGAACCCUUGGGGAGGGAACACCUUCUCAAGUUGACGGUACCACCAGAGGAAGCACCGGCUAACUCCGUGCCAGCAGCCGCGGUAAUACGGAGGGUGCAAGCGUUAUUCGGAAUUACUGGGCGUAAAGCGCGUGUAGGCGGGAGAGAAAGUCUGAUGUG